RNAcentral lists this long non-coding RNA (241 nucleotides) under Cicer arietinum (chickpea). RNAcentral's name for it is "long non-coding RNA (CARI_LNC003525)". Lineage: Eukaryota; Viridiplantae; Streptophyta; Magnoliopsida; Fabales; Fabaceae. The record is from RNAcentral.
ACAACAUUUUUAUUUCCCAACAAACCAGUUUUAACUAAAUGAGACAAAACAACAGAGUUUGAAUCACCCAAUUUUCUAUGUCAAUCAUCAUAAGAAUUCAAAACAUUAUUACAAGCAAGAGAUAAAUGAUUCAAAAUAAAUUGAAGUGGAAACAAUCGUCCCACUUUAGGCCCCUUCCCGAUCACCUUCCCGGACACCUGCUCCUGCACAAGACAACCAUCACGAGAAAAAUUAACAUUAC